AUUAUGUGCCUUAAUAAAACACAGCGUUCUGUUGAGACCUGUUUGUUAUCUGCUGGUGUCAAGCACAAACGCUAUGUGAUAUAAAAUCCAGUAUCUGGAUGUUACUGCAGACCAAACACUUCAUGGAGAAGCAAAUAUUCACUGCACUUCUUGGAGAAGUAAUUAUUCACUAAAAAUGAUCUUAAUCCAAUUUGUAAUAUUUGACCUGGAAAACAGGCGUUAUCAUAUUGUUUAUGGAAAUAAACAAAUUUCACACAUAACUCUGGGGUCUCCAUUAAAAUGAAGUCUUUAUCAGCUCACUAAUAUGAAACUACAGGACAUAAUUAUGCGUUCAUCUGGGUGCUUAGCAGUCAGAGACAGUCUGUAGGUGGUUGAAUCAGAUUCAGAUCCAAAUAUCAGCCAAAAUGCUGACGUCAUGUCCAUAGCGGGGAGGUUCUGGGCCCCCCCCGAAAAACAACCCUAGAUACGCCAAUGUCACAAUGUGAUCAUAUUCUGAUACUUCAAAAAAGUAAUCCUGUAAUGUGUCCAAAGGAAUGAGAUCAUGGAUUCUUCGAUCUGAAGCAAGAAGAAGAAUGAAAGCUGUUUAUCAAGUAAAAUUCAAUGCUAGAAGAAAGUCCAGCAGCCGGCAACCAGUCAAAUUAAUUCCAGUAAUUUAAUAUUAAAGACCGGUGAUCUCGGUGUACCUACUUGGCCUUGCAAUUGAAAUGGCCUUAAGGAACUGAUGUACAAAAGGUAAAGGUAGAUACAACUGACCUAAGUAUCAGUUUUGUACUGCAAGUUUUUGCUGUAAAAACAGCUUGGCUAACAGCAGCGCUAUCUACAGUAACGGCGUAAAACAUCUUUCAUCUUCGAAUCGGUAACCCAAAAAUCCUGGGGGGCACCAGACCAGACCAUUCUGGGGUGCCAUAGCCCCCGGGGGGGCGGAUAUAUAUGGGGGGUACGGACCGCCCCGCGUGCCAAGCCAUGCUACGCCGCCACUGGCUACCACAUCACUACCAGUUGGUAACUUGUGGUCAAUGCUGUGAGAUUGACCCACAUAAUGCAUCUUAUGAUUGCUCCUUCCACCACCAAUUUUAAAUUUUGGAGAGAUAACUUAUCUACUUGUUGUAGACUAGGGUCUCUAACAGAUCCUUUAUUAGCACUGGGGCCGAUGUUAUUAGAAUGUAUGUUCCGUCUGCCAUUCAAGUAUGGUAACGUCUGUAGCUGGGAGGUGAAAACACUCAUCCAGCUGAUAAUCCCAGAGACGGCUGAAGGGCGUCAUAAAGAAUCAGAGUUCUGAUCUAUUUGCCUUAAUGUGGUACAAAAGAUGGAUAAUACUAUUUAUUAGCUAAUUUUCAAUUAAAAUUUUACUUGUUUAUUUAAGGAACACAAACAGUAUAAUUUUAUUUAAUAUUUAACAUCCAUCUUUUGAGUCCAGUGUAACAUAGUUAAUACUACUGCCGUGGCCCUGGAAGCCAAUAAGUUUAUUUUGGGACACCCCUACAUAAUGAAUAUAGCCUCUGUGGCCGGGGGUACUAAUGGAUUCUAACUGGAAUCAAACAAGUCUCUGUCUGCGACUCCCCAUAAUAUGGCCUUCUUGGCCUGGGGUACUAAUAUAUUCUAAAUGGAAGCAAACAAGUCUCUGUCUGGGACUCCCCAUACACUGAGUAUGGCCUCCGCGGCCUGGGGUACUAAUAGAUUCCACCUGGGUACUACUCGACCCUUUGAUGUUACAGGUGGUCUGGCAUACCGUGCCUAUGGCCCGGUCUGCAAUCCCAUCUCCUGGUAGAUAACAAGCCGACAGCGUCAUGUCGAGCUGUUCGGUCAAGUUCAUGAGCUUGGUGGUCAAUUUGAGGAGGGCCCGUGAUCGAGUACCUCCUUCGUUUCUGACUGUGUCUGUGUCAGAAUGUGACCUUCAGGAGCUUGGUGGUCAAUUUGAGGAGGGCCCGUGAUCGAGUACCUCCUUCGUUUCUGACUGUGUCUGUGUCAGAAUGUGACCUUCAGGAGCUUGGUGGUUAAUUUGAGGAGGGCCCGUGAUCGAGUACCUCCUUCGUAUCAGGAUGUGAACUUCAUUCAAUCGAUCCUGAUGACUUAAUGCUACAUCUCCAUCGCAUUGGAGUGUCAUCAUCACUAGUAAAAAUAUAUAUGUAUUUUUCAAAAGUAAAUGCCAACAUUACAUUUUAGGUGUGCGUUGUAACACUGACCUGUAAAAUUUUUGUAAAGUACUGUCUAUUUUCUUUCUCUGACCUUUAAUCUACUGUUAUAAUAAUAUUUUCGAAAAAAAUAAUUAGCAACCCUAGUUGAACGCCCCACUACGCAUCCGCUGCGUCUGUGGACUUGGAAGUCUGUGACUUCUUUUCGCCGCAACGGCUUUGAACUAAAGUCUAUGGCGUCUAUACCUCUUAAAAUCCUCUCAGAAACAGCUGCAUACUAUUGUGUAUUUAGUUGACAUUGACAGUUUAUAAUAUUGUAACUAAUUGUGGGUAUACAAAUAAUAAAUCAGUUAUGCUUUGACUUGA
Ostrinia nubilalis (European corn borer) is the source of this 2498-nucleotide long non-coding RNA. RefSeq lists it as uncharacterized. The record is from RefSeq and is a predicted model, not a curated record. The transcript is spliced from 2 exons. NCBI's taxonomy places the organism in Eukaryota, Metazoa, Arthropoda, Insecta, Lepidoptera, Crambidae.